CUGAGUGAGGGCCCUCUGGGUCCAACCUCCCACCCGUGUUUAUUGUACCUUGUUGCUUCGGUGCGCCCGCCUCACGGCCGCCGGGGGGCUUCUGCCCCCGGGUCCGCGCGCACCGGAGACACUAUUGAACUCUGUCUGAAGAUUGCAGUCUGAGCAUAAACUAAAUAAGUUA
This 172-nucleotide unclassified non-coding RNA is filed under the name uncultured fungus. Its description in RNAcentral is "sequence contains ITS1, 5.8S rRNA gene". Lineage: Eukaryota; Fungi. The record is from RNAcentral.